Molecule: small RNA, 107 nt
Filed under: Marmota monax (woodchuck)
Lineage: Eukaryota; Metazoa; Chordata; Mammalia; Rodentia; Sciuridae
Source: RNAcentral
GCUGGGCAUGGCGGUGCACGCCUGUAAUUCCAGCUCCUUGGGAGGCUGAGACAGGGGGAUCGUGAGUUCAAAGCCAGCCUCAGCAACUCAAUGAGAUCCUGUUUCUA